Molecule: long non-coding RNA, 259 nt
Filed under: Homo sapiens (human)
Lineage: Eukaryota; Metazoa; Chordata; Mammalia; Primates; Hominidae
Description: LHRI_LNC1073.1
Source: RNAcentral
GGGAGGAGCUGUGUAUCCCCCACUCUCAAAACUAGUAGGGAGGAGGCUUCCAGGGAACCACUCAGAGAGAACGCUGUCCUGUGUUUCCUGAAUCUGGGGGACUUGGGGACUGACAUAUGAGGCAUCUCAAGGCAGAGGCAGGGGCAGUGGAGAGAAGAGAUGCUGUAUUGAGAAUGGCCAGCCCUUCCAUAGUUGACUGGGUAAAAACUGACUCUGAGGAAGGAGCAGACUGGGUCAUCUUGGCAGCAACUUAAGAGGG